This 468-nucleotide ribosomal RNA is filed under the name uncultured bacterium. RNAcentral describes it as "partial 16S ribosomal RNA". It matches the Rfam family "Bacterial small subunit ribosomal RNA", at positions 28 to 507 of the family's 1533-position model. The record is from RNAcentral.
GACGAACGCUGGCGGCGUGCUUAGCACAUGCAAGUCGAACGGAAAGGCCCUGCUUUUGUGGGGUGCUCGAGUGGCGAACGGGUGAGUAACACGUGAGUAACCUGCCCUUGACUUUGGGAUAACUUCAGGAAACUGGGGCUAAUACCGGAUAGGAGCUCCUGCUGCAUGGUGGGGGUUGGAAAGUUUCGGCGGUUGGGGAUGGACUCGCGGCUUAUCAGCUUGUUGGUGGGGUAGUGGCUUACCAAGGCUUUGACGGGUAGCCGGCCUGAGAGGGUGACCGGCAACAUUGGGACUGAGAUACGGCCCAGACUCCUACGGGAGGCAGCAGUGGGGAAUAUUGCACAAUGGGCGGAAGCCUGAUGCAGCAACGCCGCGUGCGGGAUGACGGCCUUCGGGUUGUAAACCGCUUUCGCCUGUGACGAAGCGUGAGUGACGGUAAUGGGUAAAGAAGCACCGGCUAACUACGUG